GAUCCUGGCUCAGGACGAACGCUGGCGGCGUGCCUAACACAUGCAAGUCGAACGGAAGCAAAGAUUUCGGUUUUUGCUUUAGUGGCGAACGGGUGAGUAACGCGUGAGGAACCUGCCUUUCAGUAGGGGACAACAGUUGGAAACGACUGCUAAUACCGCAUAAUGCUUUUGAGUGGCAUCACUUAAAAGCCAAAGAUUUAUUGCUGAAAGAUGGCCUCGCGUCUGAUUAGCUAGUUGGUGGGGUAACGG
RNAcentral lists this ribosomal RNA (249 nucleotides) under uncultured bacterium. RNAcentral describes it as "partial 16S ribosomal RNA". It matches the Rfam family "Bacterial small subunit ribosomal RNA", at positions 15 to 263 of the family's 1533-position model. The record is from RNAcentral.